This 1213-nucleotide ribosomal RNA is filed under the name Listeria monocytogenes. RNAcentral's name for it is "bacterial SSU rRNA". It matches the Rfam family "Bacterial small subunit ribosomal RNA", at positions 38 to 1252 of the family's 1533-position model. Lineage: Bacteria; Bacillati; Bacillota; Bacilli; Caryophanales; Listeriaceae. The record is from RNAcentral.
CGUGAGGGGGUCUAUACGUGCGAGUCGAACGAACGGAGGAAGAGCUUGCUCUUCCAAAGUUAGGGGGGGACGGGUGAGUAACACGGGGGCAACCUGCCUGUAAGUUGGGGAUAACUCCGGGAAACCGGGGCUAAUACCGAAUGAUAAAGUGUGGCGCAUGCCCCGCUUUUGAAAGAUGGUUUCGGCUAUCGCUUACAGAUGGGCCCGCGGGGCAUUAGCUAGUUGGUAGGGUAAUGGCCUACCAAGGCAACGAUGCAUACCCGACCUGAGAGGGUGAUCGGCCACACUGGGACUGAGACACGGCCCAAACUCCUACGGGAGGCAGCAGUAGGGAAUCUUCCGCAAUGGACGAAAGUCUGACGGAGCAACGCCGCGUGUAUGAAAAAGGUUUUCGGAUCGUAAAGUACUGUUGUUAAAAAAAAACAAGGAUAAGAGUAACUGCUUGUCCCUUGACGGUAUCUAACCAAAAAGCCACGGCUAACUACGUGCCAGCAGCCGCGGAAAUACGUAGGUGGCAAGCGUUGUCCGGAUUUAUUGGGCGUAAAGCGCGCGCAGGCGGUCUUUUAAGUCUGAUGUGAAACCCCCCGGCUUAACCGGGGAGGGUCAUUGAAAACUGAAAGACUGGAGUGCAAAAGAGGAGAGUGAAAUUCCACGUGUAGCGGUGAAAUGCGUAUAUAUGUGGAGGAACACCAGUGGCGAAGGCGACUCUCUGGUCUGUAUCUGACUCUGAGGCGCGAAAGCGUGGGGAGCACACAGGAUUAUAUACCCUGAUAGCCCACGCCGUAAACGAUGAGUGCUAAGUGUUAGGGGGUUUCCGCCCCUUUAGUGCUGCAGCUAACGCAUUAAAGCACUCCGCCUGGGGGAGUACGACCGAAAUGUAGAAACUCAAAGGAAUUGACGGGGGCCCGCACAAGCGGUGGAUGCAUGUGGUUUAAUUCGAAGCAACGCGAAGAAUCUUAACGAGGUCUUGACAUUCUUUUGAACAUCUUCUGGAAGACAGAGUCUUUCCCUUUCCGGGGACAAGGGACAGGUGGUGCAUGGUUGUCGUCAGCUCUGUCGUGAAAUGGUGAUUAGUCCCGCACGACGCAUCUUUGAAUUUAGUGCAGCAUUAGUGGUACUCUAGGGACUGCGGUGCAAGCCGGAGAAAGCGGGGAUGACUCAAUCAUAUAUGACUAGACUGUACAGGGUUCCAAUGAUUACAGGUCCGAAGCCA